RNAcentral lists this ribosomal RNA (1241 nucleotides) under metagenome. Its description in RNAcentral is "bacterial LSU rRNA". It matches the Rfam family "Bacterial large subunit ribosomal RNA", at positions 1564 to 2815 of the family's 2925-position model. The record is from RNAcentral.
UGAGUACGAGACGCUACGGCGUCGAACAGUCUAUGUCAUACUUCCAAGAAAAGCUUGCACUGUCAUAAACAAAUAAUGCCUGUACCAUAACCGACACAGGUGGGUAGGUAGAGUAUACUAAGGGGCGCGAGAUAACUCUCUCUAAGGAACUCGGCAAAAUGACUCCGUAACUUCGGGAGAAGGAGUGCCUUAUUCUUAAGGUUGCAAUAACAAGAUCCAAGCAACUGUUUAUCAAAAACACAGGUCUCCGCUAAGUCGUAAGACGAUGUAUGGGGGCUGACGCCUGCCCAGUGCCAGAAGGUUAAAGAAGUUGGUUAGCAUUCGCGAAGCUGAUAACUGAAGCCCUGGUGAACGGCGGCCGUAACAAUAACGGUCCUAAGGUAGCGAAAUUCCUUGUCGGGUAAGUUCCGACCCGCACGAAAAGCGUAAUGAUUUUGAUACUGUCUCGGAGAGGGGCUCGGUGAAAUAGACUUGUCUGUGAAGAUGCGGACUACCUGCACCUGGACAGAAAGACCCUAUGAAGCUUUACUGUAACUUGAAAUUGAAAUUGGACUUUAUUUGCGCAGUAUAGGUGGGAGGCGUUGAGAAUAUUCUUGCGGGAAUAUUGGAGCCAUCAGUGAGAUACCACUCUUGUAAUGUUAGAUUUCUAACUUUGAAUCAUUAUCUGGUCAAAGGACAGUUUCAGGCGGGCAGUUUGACUGGGGCGGUCGCCUCCUAAAUGGUAACGGAGGCGCACAAAGGUUUCCUCUGAACGGGUAGAAAUCGUAUCUAGAGUGUAAAGGCAUAAGGAAGCUUGACUGUGAGACCUACAAGUCGAGCAGGGACGAAAGUCGGUCUUAGUGAUCUGACGGUGCUGAGUGGAAAGGCCGUCACUCAACGGAUAAAAGUUACUCUAAGGAUAACAGGCUGAUCUCCCCCAAGAGUUCACAUCGACGGGGAGGUUUGGCACCUCGAUGUCGGCUCAUCGCAUCCUGGGGCGGUAGUACGUCCCAAGGGUUGGGCUGUUCGCCCAUGAAAGCGGUACGCGAGCUGGGUUCAGAACGUCGUGAGACAGUUCGGUCCAUAUCCGGUGUAGGCGUUAGAAUAUUGAGAGGAGCCUUCUUUAGUACGAGAGGACCGAGAAGGACAUACCUCUGGUGUACCAGUUAUCGUGCCAACGGUAAACGCUGGGUAGCUAUGUAUGGAGAGGAUAACCGCUGAAAGCAUCUAAGUGGGAAGCCCACCUCAAGAUAAGUAUUCUC